RNAcentral lists this ribosomal RNA (253 nucleotides) under uncultured bacterium. Its description in RNAcentral is "partial 16S ribosomal RNA". It matches the Rfam family "Bacterial small subunit ribosomal RNA", at positions 524 to 776 of the family's 1533-position model. The record is from RNAcentral.
UACAGAGGGUGCGAGCGUUAAUCGGAAUUACUGGGCGUAAAGCGCACGUAGUCGGCUUUGCAAGACAGAUGUGAAAUCCCCGGGCUCAACCUGGGAACUGCAUUUGUGACUGCAUAGCUAGAGUACGGUAGAGGGGGAUGGAAUUCCGCGUGUAGCAGUGAAAUGCGUAGAUAUGCGGAGGAACACCGAUGGCGAAGGCAAUCCCCUGGACCUGUACUGACGCUCAUGCACGAAAGCGUGGGGAGCAAACAGG